This 366-nucleotide unclassified non-coding RNA is filed under the name soil metagenome. Its description in RNAcentral is "partial contains 5.8S ribosomal RNA, internal transcribed spacer 2, and large subunit ribosomal RNA". The stretch from base 1 to 120 matches the Rfam family "5.8S ribosomal RNA", at positions 35 to 154 of the family's 154-position model. The record is from RNAcentral.
GAUGAAGAACGCAGCGAAAUGCGAUAACUAAUGUGAAUUGCAGAAUUCCGUGAAUCAUCGAGUCUUUGAACGCACAUUGCGCCCCCUGGUAUUCCGGGGGGCAUGCCUGUCCGAGCGUCAUUACAACCCUCAAGCCCGGCUUGUGUAAUGGGCGGCCGUCUCUCCCCCCGGGGGGAGACGCCCCCGAAACUCAGUGGGGAUGUCGCGAUACCGAAGCCUCAGCUAAUGGGUAAACCACAGCUGCAAUGGCCGCGGCCGGCGUCCACCUUCCACGGUCCGUCCGCCUAGCGCGGGCGGCCUUCUCAAGGUUGACCUCGGAUCAGGUAGGGAUACCCGCUGAACUUAAGCAUAUCAAUAAGCGGAGGA